This 520-nucleotide ribosomal RNA is filed under the name Schindleria sp. 18 TK-2007. RNAcentral describes it as "partial 16S rRNA". It matches the Rfam family "Bacterial large subunit ribosomal RNA", at positions 1851 to 2574 of the family's 2925-position model. Lineage: Eukaryota; Metazoa; Chordata; Actinopteri; Gobiiformes; Schindleriidae. The record is from RNAcentral.
GGUCUCGCCUGCCCUGUGAUAAAGAUUUAACGGCCGCGGUAUUCUGACCGUGCAAAGGUAGCGUAAUAACUUGUCUUUUAAAUAAAGACCUGUAUGAAUGGCAUAACGAGGGUUAACCUGUCUCCUUACUCAAGUCAAUGAAAUUGAUCCCCUCGUGCAGAAGCGAGGAUUAGACCAUAAGACGAGAAGACCCUAUGGAGCUUUAAGGCACUAGGACAUACUAAGUUAAAACCUCUCGCUUAAGAGUUAAAACAAAAUGUUAAUGCCCUAUGCCUUUGGUUGGGGCGACCACGGAGUAAAACAUAACCCCCGUGUGGAAAUAAACCACUAUUCUAAACUUAGAGCCGCCGCUCAAAGAAACAGAAAAUCUGACCACGAAGAUCCGGCAAAGCCGAUCCACGGACCCAGUUACCCUAGGGAUAACAGCGCAAUCCCUCCUUAGAGCCCUUAUCGACGGAGGAGUUUACGACCUCGAUGUUGGAUCAGGACAUCCUAAUGGUGUAGCCGCUAUUAAGGGUUC